UACGAAGUGACAAAACAGCAGUAACACCAUUAUGAAUUGACAAAACAGCAGUAACACCAUUACGAAGUGACAAAACAGCAGUAACACCUUUAUGAAGUGACAAAACAGCAGUAACACCUUCAUGAAGUGACAAAACAGCAGUAACACCAUUAUGAAGUGACAAAACAGCAGUAACACCAUUAUGAAGUGACAAAACAGCAGUAACACCUUUAUGAAGUGACAAAACAGCAGUAACACCUUUAUGAAGUGACAAAACAGCAGUAACACCUUUAUGAAGUGACAAAACAGCAGUAACACCAUUAUGAAGUGACAAAACAGCAGUAACCUUUAUAUGAUUCACAGCACUUUGUAUUUUAUAUGAUUCACAGCACUGUAUUUUAUAUGAUUCACAGCACUGUCUUUUAUAUGAUUCCCAGCACUGUCUUUUAUAUGAUUCCCAGAACUGUCUUUUAUAUGAUUCCCAGCACUGUCUUUUAUAUGAUUCCCAGAACUGUCUUUUAUAUGAUUCCCAGCACUGUCUUUUAUAUGAUUCCCAGCACUGUCUUUUAUAUGAUUCCCAGCACUGUCUUUUAUAUGAUUCCCAGAACUGUCUUUUAUAUGAUUCACAGCAGUGUAAACAGGCAGUAAAGAGGAUUUAUUUUUGAUAAUCCUAUGUGAAUGUUAGUCUGGGUACCCAGGCUAGGUAAAGCUAAUGUCACAGUGAAAUCUCAUUCUCAUGUCUAGACGCCCAGAUUCCUGCAGAACUAAUCAUUCCUGUUAUUGUUGUUAUUAUACAUGCUACGUGGUUUCAUCUCCUAAUAUUUAUUUUAAAGUGUAUAUUUAUUUAUUUAUUUUGUCUCUGAAUUUAACGUUUACGUUGAAAGUGUCAAAGAUAAAAUAGUGAACGCGGUAGACAUGGAACAAAACAUAAACCGUCUGUACAGAUCUAUAACUGGAUGGAUGGUUUAAAUUACAAUUAUUAAAUUACAUUUAUUAAAUUAAAUGUAUUAAAUUACAUGUAUUAAAUUACAUUUAUUAAAUUAAAUGUAUUAAAUUACAUGUAUUAAAUUACAUUUAUUAAAUUACUGGAUGGAUGGUUUAAAUUACAUUUAUAAAUUACAUUUAUUAAAUUACAUGUAUUAAAUUACAUUUAUUAAAUUACAUUUAUUAAAUUACUGGAUGGAUGGUUUAAAUUACAUUUAUAAAUUACAUUUAUUAAAUUACAUUUAUAAAUUACAUUUAUUAAAUUACUGGAUGGAUGGUUUAAAUUACAUUUAUAAAUUACAUUUGUUAAAUUACAUUUAUUAAAUUAAAUGUAUUAAAUUACAUGUAUUAAAUUACAUUUAUUAAAUUACUGGAUGGAUGGUUUAAAUUACAUUUAUAAAUUACAUUUAUUAAAUUACAUGUAUUAAAUUACAUUUAUUAAAUUACAUUUAUUAAAUGACUGGAUGGAUGGUUUAAAUUACAUUUAUAAAUUACAUUUAUUAAAUUACAUUUAUAAAUUACAUUUAUUAAAUUACUGGAUGGAUGGUUUAAAUUACAUUUAUAAAUUACAUGUAUUAAAUUACAUUUAAUAAUGACAUUUAUUAAUUUACAUGUAUUAAUUUACAUGUAUUAAAUUACAUUUAUAAAUGACAUGUAUUAUAUCUCAUGGGGAUGAGUCUGAGAAUAUGUAACUCUUCCAUCUAAUACCCAUAGUGCUAUACAUUUGAUUGUUAUUUGAUUACAAUAUCCAAAAUACAUGUUAUAAUUCAGCUGUAUUACCUCAAUAAAGCACAACUCAAACUUGGACAGCCUAAUAUUUUAACUUGGAACAACGAACAAACUACAAUCAGUAGAAUACUAGAGGUGACCUGAUUCUACAGAGCUGGUGUCAGAAUACUAGAGGUGACCUGAUUCUACAGAGCUGGUGUCAGACUACUAGAGGUGACCUGAUUCUACAGAGCUGGUGUCAGAAUACUAGAGGUGACCUGAUUCUACAGCGCUGGUGUCAGACUACUAGAGGUGAACUGAUUCUACAGAGCUG
Molecule: long non-coding RNA, 2005 nt
Filed under: Salmo salar (Atlantic salmon)
Lineage: Eukaryota; Metazoa; Chordata; Actinopteri; Salmoniformes; Salmonidae
Description: lncRNA (ENSSSAG00000101869.1)
Source: RNAcentral